GCCUGAUCAAGGCUCACCACAGCCUCAACCUUCUUGGCUCAAGUGAUCAUCUCACCUCAGCCUCCAGAGUAGCUGAAGUACAGGUACAUGCCACUACACUCAGCUAAUUUUUGUGGUUUUUUUCUUUUUUUGUAGAGACAGGGUCUCACUAUAUUGCCCAGGCUGGUCUUGAACUCCUGGGCUCAAGUGAUCCUCCCGCCUCAGCCUCCCAAAGUGCUAGGAUUCCAUAUGUGAGCCACUACCCCUAGCCAGGUUAAUUUAUUUUUGAAGAAAGAAUAAUAUUUUUAUAAACUGAGUAUAUCCUUAGUUCAGUAUUUGUGAAGGCUAUGGCAGUCUACAGUGGUGUACAGUAAUGUCUUAGACCUUCACAUUCACUCCCCACUCACUCACUGACUCAUCCAGAGCAACUUCUACUCCUGCAAGCUCCAUUCAUGCACUUCUCCCGAUGUUACAGCUCCUCUACAAUCAACAGCGGAAUGAGAGGGGAGAAAAAAAUCAUACCAGUCUCAUGAGAGCUAAAAUGACCCUCCCAAGAUGAAAGAGCAAGCUACAAGAGAACCAAGGUCUCCAGACUCUAGCGUCUCCCCAGUGAUAGCACAGCCAUUAUUCCUCAGGAAAAGAAAACCAUGAACAGCAUCUGGAGAGGUCAAUCACUUCCACAACCACCCUGCCUGUCCCUUCUGAGAAGGGACCAAAUCCUACCAUUCCAGAGCAAGGCUGCUCAUGUGUAAUCUCCGGAGUCCUUUCUGGAUCUUCUCUAUGACUUAAUCCAAACAGUGAGACAUCUGUUUGAAUUCCACCAUUCCACAACAUACCUAACCCUCAACAGGACUCGCUUUUAGAAAAUGGUUUCAAAGUAACUUAAGUUCCACACUGUGAAUCUACAUUUUCUGGCUAUUUAUAAAUUUGUUGCCAGUUGCCUCAAGUUUACUUUAAUCAACUGUAAUAGACCAAAAUAUAUAAGUUAAGCCUACGACAUCCUCCCCUAUGAUGCAGUCAAUGUUAGGGGUAUUUUAGUGAGCUCAGUUUUUUUUUUUUAAGAGAUGGGUCUCACUAUGUUGCCCAGGCUGGUCUCGAACUCCUGGUCUUAUGGGAUCCUCCCACCUUGGCCUCCCAAAGUGCUGGGAUUACAGGCGUGAGCCACCGCACCCCGCCAGUGAGCACAGCUGACAACAAGCUGCUUUUCAGGUCCGUGAUAAAAGGAAAAUAUUAUAAGAUUAAUGAGAUUUACUAAUUAGAUAUACUCGCUGAUAAUGUGUUUUAUUUUAAUGAAAAGCCAUGAGAUUUAUAAGUACCCUCCUCUGCAUCAAAACAAUAAACCUGAAAUCCUAAAG
This 1334-nucleotide long non-coding RNA is filed under the name Homo sapiens (human). Its description in RNAcentral is "HSALNT0036261". Lineage: Eukaryota; Metazoa; Chordata; Mammalia; Primates; Hominidae. The record is from RNAcentral.